Molecule: small nuclear RNA, 158 nt
Organism: Arabidopsis thaliana (thale cress)
Lineage: Eukaryota; Viridiplantae; Streptophyta; Magnoliopsida; Brassicales; Brassicaceae
Rfam family: U1 spliceosomal RNA
About the family: U1 is a small nuclear RNA (snRNA) component of the spliceosome (involved in pre-mRNA splicing). Its 5' end forms complementary base pairs with the 5' splice junction, thus defining the 5' donor site of an intron. There are significant differences in sequence and secondary structure between metazoan and yeast U1 snRNAs, the latter being much longer (568 nucleotides as compared to 164 nucleotides in human).
Source: Rfam
UUACUUACCUGGACGGGGUUUACGGGUGAUCAUGAAGAUCCGUGGCCUAGGCUGGUGGCUUCCUGCACUUGAGGUGCGCUAAGCCAAAGGUCACCCCAAGUGGGAGAUCCUGCGUCAUUAUUUGUUGCCUUGGGGGCCUGCGUUCGCGCGGCCCCUUC